GCGUAAUUGGGGUAAUGGUUAGCCUAUGAGCUUCCCAAGCUUGGGAACCGGGUUCGAUUCCCGGAUUACGCA
Tritrichomonas foetus is the source of this 72-nucleotide transfer RNA. It matches the Rfam family "tRNA". Rfam says of the family: Transfer RNA (tRNA) molecules are approximately 80 nucleotides in length. Their secondary structure includes four short double-helical elements and three loops (D, anti-codon, and T loops). Further hydrogen bonds mediate the characteristic L-shaped molecular structure. tRNAs have two regions of fundamental functional importance: the anti-codon, which is responsible for specific mRNA codon recognition, and the 3' end, to which the tRNAs corresponding amino acid is attached (by aminoacyl-tRNA synthetases). tRNAs cope with the degeneracy of the genetic code in two manners: having more than one tRNA (with a specific anti-codon) for a particular amino acid; and 'wobble' base-pairing, i.e. permitting non-standard base-pairing at the 3rd anti-codon position. NCBI's taxonomy places the organism in Eukaryota, Parabasalia, Tritrichomonadida, Tritrichomonadidae. The record is from Rfam.